UAGUCAUAUGCUUGUCUCAAAGAUUAAGCCAUGCAUGUCUAGGUAUAAAUAGUAUACAGUGAAACUGCGAAUGGCUCAUUAAAACAGUUAUAGUUUAUUUGAUAAUCGAAAGCUACAUGGAUAACCGUGGUAAUUCUAGAGCUAAUACAUGCAGUCAAACCCGACCUUCGGAAGGGUUGUAUUUAUUAGAUAUCAAGCCAAUACUCCUUCGGGUUUAUUGUGGUGAAUCAUAGUAACUGAUCGAAGCCCUCAGGGCUAAAUCAUUCAAGUUUCUGCC
This 277-nucleotide ribosomal RNA is filed under the name uncultured eukaryote. RNAcentral's name for it is "partial 18S ribosomal RNA". It matches the Rfam family "Eukaryotic small subunit ribosomal RNA", at positions 21 to 311 of the family's 1831-position model. The record is from RNAcentral.